GGCUCGGUGGUCUAGGGGUAUGGUUCUCGCUUAGAGUAUGAAGGGUCCCGGAUUGAAAUCCCGACCGAGCCC
Molecule: non-coding RNA, 72 nt
Organism: Trichonephila clavipes
Lineage: Eukaryota; Metazoa; Arthropoda; Arachnida; Araneae; Nephilidae
Source: the annotation of a GenBank genome assembly